UUCCUUAAAGAUAAAUUAAGAAAUAUCUUCUCAACUUUAGCUCAAUUUCACUUAUACUCAUAUACUUUAAAAAGUGUUAAACUGAUUCUUCUAGUUAUUGAUAUGUUCCAAUAUGGUCCGAUCAUUCAUUUUAUCAAUAAAUGGUGUUAGAUUUCUCCCUAAAUAGAUAAAAAUGCCCUUUAUUUAUGGAUGGACUUGGAGGAGGAAGA
Molecule: long non-coding RNA, 209 nt
Filed under: Elaeis guineensis (African oil palm)
Lineage: Eukaryota; Viridiplantae; Streptophyta; Magnoliopsida; Arecales; Arecaceae
Description: long non-coding RNA (EGUI_LNC060176)
Source: RNAcentral